Molecule: long non-coding RNA, 1977 nt
Organism: Triticum aestivum (bread wheat)
Lineage: Eukaryota; Viridiplantae; Streptophyta; Magnoliopsida; Poales; Poaceae
Exons: 11
Source: RefSeq, a predicted model, not a curated record
UCCGCACCGCUUACGCUUACCGCUUUCUCAAACAUUGAUGGUGGGGUGCGGCUGCGACGGAGAUGAAGGAGGUUCGCCGCCUGUCUUUGUCUCCUUGCUGCGUCCUUUGUUGUCGAUCAUCCCCUCUCCCUUCGCCCCUAGCAGCGCAAUAGUCGGGGACAAGGGGAAGGAGCAGGUUGACCCGACUCCAUCUCUCUGCACGAGGACUAGAGGAGCAGGUGGCGAGGGAAGCCGACACGGCCAGCGGCGGCCCUGCACAGGGACAUCCGCCUCCGGUUUUCCGUCCCGUCUCCCGAUCCCCUUCCGUUUAAGUGUGUUCUUUUUCCUCUUGGCCCGAUCUGCUCACAUGUUUGGGGUUUCGUGUUGUAGGGAUAAGAUCUGGUGCGGGAGGUGUGGUAUACUGCAUAGGUGUAUAAUCUUGGCUAUGAUCUAUGCUGGUGAUUUGGCUAUCGACUGCUAAAUCUACGAAUCAUCUGAAAAUGUUGAACUUGUUGUCCUGCUGUGUGGACAUGUUUUGAUUAUGCUUUUAAAUACUAUGCUUUGCUGAUUCAGUGCUAUUUAUGUGGUGUAGGAGGAUGUUGAUGUUAAAGCAUUUGGUUUUGAUGGAUCAUAUUAUUGGUUCUCUGUUCAACUGAAGAUGUCUUCAGAUAGGACUAAGGUGAGUUGAGUUGUGGCUUGGUUGGAUAUGUUGAUGCUGUUUGAGACGCCCGCUGGAUUCACCCUUUUCAAGGUUCUGAACAAGGGCAAGCUCGACAAGGUCGAGGGGUAUAUGGACCACAAAUGAUGUGAUAUACUUCGUUAUUUCAACAUGAGUACGGCUCAGCAGGAAGGUCAACCGUGGGGAGGCGCAACAUAGCGCGGCCUCAGCCAAUUAGAUCUGAGGAUGAAGAGAAGAAGAAUUUAUCUAAAAGGGUGAAGAAGAUCAAGGGGGUGAGAGGCGGAUAACAAUACAAGAAGGAGCAUGCCAUCAAGGAGUGCAAGCAGCGGCACUCCUCCGCAAUGGGGUAUGGCUGCAGGGGAGGGGACGCGGCCAACGACAUGAAGAAGGAGCAGGUCGUCGAGGACUACAAGUAGCAGGGGAUGAUCCUUUUGCUUAUUUAUUAUUCCCUCCGUUCCUAAAUAUAAGUCUUUUUAGAGAUUACACUAUGGAAUACAUACAGAGCAAAAUGAUUGAGUCCACACUCUAAAAAUGUCUAUAUACAUCUGUAUGUAGUUUGCAAUGGAAUCUCUAAAAAGACUUACAUUUAGGAAUAGAGGGAGUAUUUGCUAUGUUCUCUGAAGAUUAUUUUUGGCCCAUACAGUUUCCUUUGACUAGAAGUCUGAAAGUGAAGAUAGGGCAUAUUGUUUUGGUUCUGAGUGGCCGGAGAUAUUGUGGCUUGAUGUCCCUAGAGCAGUCAGACCCUUCCAAGAUAGAAGAUCUUUGGGAUUGACGUUCUGAUGAGAAAGUAGCAUACAGAUGGAUGGAUAUGAACUAUUCAGUGGUCGAACUGCGCUAUAUUUCGUUCAUUGAGGCGAGGGUGAUUCCAGUAGAUUUUGCUUGGCGUACUCGUCUUUUUUAUUGAAGUUGGGUGUCCGUCUUCUCUGCGGCAAGAUCUAUGCUAUCGCGGCAACACAGGCCAAUACACAUUCAGGAAAUAUGUCACCAACUUCCCCAAGGCCCCGCAUCGUCUACUCAGGAUAUUUUGUGCCCCAAGCCCUACAGAAUAAUGCCCAGUCUAAUUUCAGGAGUGGGCAUGACAGCCUCAAACUUCUCUCUUCAAUAUUGAAGAAGCGACUUACUCAGAUCAAUGGGCAUGCAUUUAGAAAAAUAGCUAAAGAGUACGAGAUAUUCCUAGAGUAAAUAAAGGGCAUGCUGUGCUCAUAAGUUAGACAGAAGCAAAAUGUUAUUUAUUAUGCUCCCGUUGUAUCCUCGGACAUUUUCUUCCACCUACCAAUACCCCAUUAUUGAAUAUCUACUUUCCCACCGUCGUACAGAAA